RNAcentral lists this ribosomal RNA (745 nucleotides) under Streptomyces sp. HUST007. Its description in RNAcentral is "bacterial SSU rRNA". It matches the Rfam family "Bacterial small subunit ribosomal RNA", at positions 92 to 849 of the family's 1533-position model. Lineage: Bacteria; Bacillati; Actinomycetota; Actinomycetes; Kitasatosporales; Streptomycetaceae. The record is from RNAcentral.
UUAGUGGCGAACGGGUGAGUAACACGUGGGCAAUCUGCCCUUCACUCUGGGACAAGCCCUGGAAACGGGGUCUAAUACCGGAUAACACUCUGUCCUGCAUGGGACGGGGUUGAAAGCUCCGGCGGUGAAGGAUGAGCCCGCGGCCUAUCAGCUUGUUGGUGGGGUAAUGGCCUACCAAGGCGACGACGGGUAGCCGGCCUGAGAGGGCGACCGGCCACACUGGGACUGAGACACGGCCCAGACUCCUACGGGAGGCAGCAGUGGGGAAUAUUGCACAAUGGGCGAAAGCCUGAUGCAGCGACGCCGCGUGAGGGAUGACGGCCUUCGGGUUGUAAACCUCUUUCAGCAGGGAAGAAGCGCAAGUGACGGUACCUGCAGAAGAAGCGCCGGCUAACUACGUGCCAGCAGCCGCGGUAAUACGUAGGGCGCAAGCGUUGUCCGGAAUUAUUGGGCGUAAAGAGCUCGUAGGCGGCUUGUCACGUCGGAUGUGAAAGCCCGGGGCUUAACCCCGGGUCUGCAUUCGAUACGGGCUAGCUAGAGUGUGGUAGGGGAGAUCGGAAUUCCUGGUGUAGCGGUGAAAUGCGCAGAUAUCAGGAGGAACACCGGUGGCGAAGGCGGAUCUCUGGGCCAUUACUGACGCUGAGGAGCGAAAGCGUGGGGAGCGAACAGGAUUAGAUACCCUGGUAGUCCACGCCGUAAACGUUGGGAACUAGGUGUUGGCGACAUUCCACGUCGUCGGUGCCGC